AACUGAUUUGCUUAAUUUUAUUAUGAGUUCAAAUUAGUCAUUUUAUUAUUAAUUAUGGAGUUUUAUUAUUGUAAUUGUAUGUAAACUAAGAUGAUUUUUUUUGUAAGUUUACUUAGUUAAACAAGAAUUAGAGACUCUUUUAUAGGUAGAUUUAUUUUUUGUUUUCUCAGUUAUAACUGAAAGAAAUUGGCAGCUAGUUAUAUCCUUCUAGGGGAACGUGUGUUUUAAGAGAUGAUCCACUAAUUAUUUUACUAUAGUUAGAUUGUUGGUGUAUAUCCGGUUUAGUUACACAAAAUGAGUAUUUUGUGUAUAAAUUAUAUUUUUAAUCCAGGUCGAUAUGCUGCUAAUAUUAUAGAUAAUAUUCGUUACAUUAUAAAUUUAAGAGAUGAAAUAUUUUUUAGUUUUAGGACUUAGUAGUAUUAUGAAAUUUUAAGUAGUUCGUGAGAAUAAGGUUUAAUUGGGGUACACAUCGCCCGUCAUCUUCGAUUAUUAGUU
This 495-nucleotide ribosomal RNA is filed under the name Eupolystoma vanasi. RNAcentral describes it as "partial 12S ribosomal RNA". The record is from RNAcentral. Lineage: Eukaryota; Metazoa; Platyhelminthes; Monogenea; Polystomatidea; Polystomatidae.